UCGGUCUCAAAAAUAAAAUAAAAUAAAAUUGGAAUGAUACAGAGAAGAUUAGCAUGGCUCCUUUAAAGUAAAGACAUGGUCCCUGUCCUC
Molecule: small nuclear RNA, 90 nt
Filed under: Pongo abelii (Sumatran orangutan)
Lineage: Eukaryota; Metazoa; Chordata; Mammalia; Primates; Hominidae
Source: RNAcentral